GUCUUCAUAGCUCAACGGAUAGAGCGUGAGCUUGCGGAGCUUAAGAUGGAGGUUCGAUUCCUCCUGAGGACA
This 72-nucleotide transfer RNA is filed under the name Candidatus Kuenenbacteria bacterium HGW-Kuenenbacteria-1. Its description in RNAcentral is "tRNA-Arg". It matches the Rfam family "tRNA". From Rfam's summary of the family: Transfer RNA (tRNA) molecules are approximately 80 nucleotides in length. Their secondary structure includes four short double-helical elements and three loops (D, anti-codon, and T loops). The record is from RNAcentral. Lineage: Bacteria; Candidatus Kueneniibacteriota.